RNAcentral lists this ribosomal RNA (460 nucleotides) under uncultured bacterium. RNAcentral's name for it is "partial 16S ribosomal RNA". It matches the Rfam family "Bacterial small subunit ribosomal RNA", at positions 338 to 795 of the family's 1533-position model. The record is from RNAcentral.
CCUACGGGAGGCAGCAGUGAGGAAUAUUGGUCAAUGGACGAAAGUCUGAACCAGCCAAGUAGCGUGAGGGAUGACUGCCCUAUGGGUUGUAAACUUCUUUUAUAAAGGAAUAAAACGAGGCACGUGUGCCUUUUUGCAUGUACUUUAUGAAUAAGGAUCGGCUAACUCCGUGCCAGCAGCCGCGGUAAUACGGAGGAUCCGAGCGUUAUCCGGAUUUAUUGGGUUUAAAGGGAGCGUAGACGGGCUGUUAAGUCAGUUGUGAAAGUUUGCGGCUCAACCGUAGAAUUGCCGUUGAAACUGGAAGUCUUGAGUACAGUUGAGGUAGGCGGAAUGCGUGGUGUAGCGGUGAAAUGCUUAGAUAGCACGCAGAACCCCGAUUGCGAAGGCAGCUUACUAAGCUGUGACUGACACUGAUGCUCGAAAGUGUGGGGAUCAAACAGGAUUAGAUACCCCGGUAGUC